Molecule: transfer RNA, 75 nt
Filed under: Spirosoma arboris
Lineage: Bacteria; Pseudomonadati; Bacteroidota; Cytophagia; Cytophagales; Cytophagaceae
Description: tRNA-Arg
Rfam family: tRNA
About the family: Transfer RNA (tRNA) molecules are approximately 80 nucleotides in length. Their secondary structure includes four short double-helical elements and three loops (D, anti-codon, and T loops). Further hydrogen bonds mediate the characteristic L-shaped molecular structure. tRNAs have two regions of fundamental functional importance: the anti-codon, which is responsible for specific mRNA codon recognition, and the 3' end, to which the tRNAs corresponding amino acid is attached (by aminoacyl-tRNA synthetases). tRNAs cope with the degeneracy of the genetic code in two manners: having more than one tRNA (with a specific anti-codon) for a particular amino acid; and 'wobble' base-pairing, i.e. permitting non-standard base-pairing at the 3rd anti-codon position.
Source: RNAcentral
GGCUUUAUGGUGUAAUGGAUAGCAUCACAGUCUUCGGAACUGUUGGUUGGGGUUCGAGUCCCUAUAAGGCCACCA